UUAAGCGACUAAGCGUACACGGUGGAUGCCCUGGCAGUCAGAGGCGAUGAAGGACGUGCUAAUCUGCGAAAAGCGUCGGUAAGGUGAUAUGAACCGUUACAGCCGGCGAUGUCCGAAUGGGGAAACCCAGUGUGAUUCGUCACACUAUCGUUAACUGAAUACAUAGGUUAACGAGGCGAACCGGGGGAACUGAAACAUCUAAGUACCCCGAGGAAAAGAAAUCAACCGAGAUUCCCCCAGUAGCGGCGAGCGAACGGGGAGCAGCCCAGAGUCUGAAUCAGCUUGUGUGUUAGUGGAACGGUCUGGAAAGUCCGACGGUACAGGGUGAUAGUCCCGUACACCAAAAUGCACAGGCUGUGAACUCGAAGAGUAGGGCGGGACACGUGGUAUCCUGUCUGAAUAUGGGGGGACCAUCCUCCAAGGCUAAAUACUCCUGACUGACCGAUAGUGAACCAGUACCGUGAGGGAAAGGCGAAAAGAACCCCGGCGAGGGGAGUGAAAAAGAACCUGAAACCGUGUACGUACAAGCAGUGGGAGCACCUUCGGGUGUGACUGCGUACCUUUUGUAUAAUGGGUCAGCGACUUAUAUUCUGUAGCAAGGUUAACCGUAUAGGGGAGCCGCAGGGAAACCGAGUCUUAACUGGGCGUUAAGUUGCAGGGUAUAGACCCGAAACCCGGUGAUCUAGCCAUGGGCAGGUUGAAGGUUGGGUAACACUAACUGGAGGACCGAACCGACUAAUGUUGAAAAAUUAGCGGAUGACUUGUGGCUGGGGGUGAAAGGCCAAUCAAACCGGGAGAUAGCUGGUUCUCCCCGAAAGCUAUUUAGGUAGCGCCUCGUGAAUUCAUCUUCGGGGGUAGAGCACUGUUUCGGCUAGGGGGUCAUCCCGACUUACCAACCCGAUGCAAACUACGAAUACCGAAGAAUGUUAUCACGGGAGACACACGGCGGGUGCUAACGUCCGUCGUGAAGAGGGAAACAACCCAGACCGCCAGCUAAGGUCCCAAAGUCAUGGUUAAGUGGGAAACGAUGUGGGAAGGCACAGACAGCCAGGAUGUUGGCUUAGAAGCAGCCAUCAUUUAAAGAAAGCGUAAUAGCUCACUGGUCGAGUCGGCCUGCGCGGAAGAUGUAACGGGGCUAAACCAUGCACCGAAGCUGCGGCAGCGACACUAUGUGUUGUUGGGUAGGGGAGCGUUCUGUAAGCCUGCGAAGGUGUGCUGUGAGGCAUGCUGGAGGUAUCAGAAGUGCGAAUGCUGACAUAAGUAACGAUAAAGCGGGUGAAAAGCCCGCUCGCCGGAAGACCAAGGGUUCCUGUCCAACGUUAAUCGGGGCAGGGUGAGUCGACCCCUAAGGCGAGGCCGAAAGGCGUAGUCGAUGGGAAACAGGUUAAUAUUCCUGUACUUGGUGUUACUGCGAAGGGGGGACGGAGAAGGCUAUGUUAGCCGGGCGACGGUUGUCCCGGUUUAAGCAUGUAGGCUGGUUGUCCAGGCAAAUCCGGAUAAUCAAGGCUGAGGUGUGAUGACGAGGCACUACGGUGCUGAAGUAACAAAUGCCCUGCUUCCAGGAAAAGCCUCUAAGCAUCAGGUAACAUUAAAUCGUACCCCAAACCGACACAGGUGGUCAGGUAGAGAAUACCAAGGCGCUUGAGAGAACUCGGGUGAAGGAACUAGGCAAAAUGGUGCCGUAACUUCGGGAGAAGGCACGCUGGUGUGUAGGUGAAGUCCCUGCGGAUGGAGCUGAGACCAGUCGAAGAUACCAGCUGGCUGCAACUGUUUAUUAAAAACACAGCACUGUGCAAACACGAAAGUGGACGUAUACGGUGUGACGCCUGCCCGGUGCCGGAAGGUUAAUUGAUGGGGUUAUCCGUAAGGAGAAGCUCUUGAUCGAAGCCCCGGUAAACGGCGGCCGUAACUAUAACGGUCCUAAGGUAGCGAAAUUCCUUGUCGGGUAAGUUCCGACCUGCACGAAUGGCGUAAUGAUGGCCAGGCUGUCUCCACCCGAGACUCAGUGAAAUUGAACUCGCUGUGAAGAUGCAGUGUACCCGCGGCAAGACGGAAAGACCCCGUGAACCUUUACUAUAGCUUGACACUGAACAUUGAGCCUUGAUGUGUAGGAUAGGUGGGAGGCUUUGAAGCGUGGACGCCAGUCUGCGUGGAGCCAACCUUGAAAUACCACCCUUUAAUGUUUGAUGUUCUAACGUUGGCCCCUUACCGGGGUUGCGGACAGUGUCUGGUGGGUAGUUUGACUGGGGCGGUCUCCUCCCAAAGCGUAACGGAGGAGCACGAAGGUUAGCUAAUCCUGGUCGGACAUCAGGAGGUUAGUGCAAUGGCAUAAGCUAGCUUGACUGCGAGCGUGACGGCGCGAGCAGGUGCGAAAGCAGGUCAUAGUGAUCCGGUGGUUCUGAAUGGAAGGGCCAUCGCUCAACGGAUAAAAGGUACUCCGGGGAUAACAGGCUGAUACCGCCCAAGAGUUCAUAUCGACGGCGGUGUUUGGCACCUCGAUGUCGGCUCAUCACAUCCUGGGGCUGAAGUAGGUCCCAAGGGUAUGGCUGUUCGCCAUUUAAAGUGGUACGCGAGCUGGGUUUAGAACGUCGUGAGACAGUUCGGUCCCUAUCUGCCGUGGGCGCUGGAGAAUUGAGGGGGGCUGCUCCUAGUACGAGAGGACCGGAGUGGACGCAUCACUGGUGUUCGGGUUGUCAUGCCAAUGGCACUGCCCGGUAGCUAAAUGCGGAAGAGAUAAGUGCUGAAAGCAUCUAAGCACGAAACUUGCCCCGAGAUGAGUUCUCCCUGAGACUUUAAGUCUCCUGAAGGAACGUUAAAGACGAUGACGUUGAUAGGCCGGGUGUGUAAGCGCAGCGAUGCGUUGAGCUAACCGGUACUAAUGAACCGUGAGGCUUAACCUU
This 2900-nucleotide ribosomal RNA is filed under the name Klebsiella pneumoniae. Its description in RNAcentral is "bacterial LSU rRNA". It matches the Rfam family "Bacterial large subunit ribosomal RNA". Lineage: Bacteria; Pseudomonadati; Pseudomonadota; Gammaproteobacteria; Enterobacterales; Enterobacteriaceae. The record is from RNAcentral.